RNAcentral lists this ribosomal RNA (253 nucleotides) under uncultured bacterium. RNAcentral describes it as "partial 16S ribosomal RNA". It matches the Rfam family "Bacterial small subunit ribosomal RNA", at positions 524 to 776 of the family's 1533-position model. The record is from RNAcentral.
UACGGGGGGGGUAAGCGUUGUUCGGAAUUACUGGGCGUAAAGGGCUCGUAGGCGGCCAACUAAGUCAGACGUGAAAUCCCUCAGCUUAACUGGGGAACUGCGUCUGAUACUGGAUGGCUUGGAUCCGGGAGAGGGAUGCGGAAUUCCAGGUGUAGCGGUGAAAUGCGUAGAUAUCAGGAGGAAUACCGAUGGCGAAGGCAGGUCUCUGGGCCAAUACUGACGCUCAUGCACGAAAGCGUGGGGAGCAAACAGG